RNAcentral lists this ribosomal RNA (497 nucleotides) under Kodamaea ohmeri. Its description in RNAcentral is "eukaryotic LSU rRNA". It matches the Rfam family "Eukaryotic large subunit ribosomal RNA", at positions 65 to 659 of the family's 3401-position model. Lineage: Eukaryota; Fungi; Ascomycota; Pichiomycetes; Serinales; Debaryomycetaceae. The record is from RNAcentral.
CCACUGCAUUGCCUCAGUACGGCGAGUGAGCGGCAAAAGCUCAAAUUUGAAAUCCCCCCGGGGAGUUGUAAUUUGAAGAUUGCGUCUUGGAGGCGACCGUGUCUAUGUUCCUUGGAACAGGACGUCACAGAGGGUGAGAAUCCCGUGCGGCACGGCCCCCGGCUCCUUAUAAGGCGCUCUCGACGAGUCGAGUUGUUUGGGAAUGCAGCUCAAAGUGGGUGGUAAAUUCCAUCUAAAGCUAAAUACAGGCGAGAGACCGAUAGCGAACAAGUACAGUGAUGGAAAGAUGAAAAGCACUUUGAAAAGAGAGUGAAACAGCACGUGAAAUUGUUGAAAGGGAAGGGCAUGCCGUCAGAUUGUCAGUGUGGGUAAGAAGCGGGGUACAAAGACUGUGGAACGUGGCCCUCGGGUGUUAUAGCCGCAGUUCAUGCCCCGUCUCUUUCCGAGGCCUGCUUUGAGGACACCGACGUAAUGACGGUACGCCGCCCGUCUUGACC